RNAcentral lists this ribosomal RNA (501 nucleotides) under uncultured bacterium. Its description in RNAcentral is "partial 16S ribosomal RNA". It matches the Rfam family "Bacterial small subunit ribosomal RNA", at positions 30 to 523 of the family's 1533-position model. The record is from RNAcentral.
AUUGAACGCUGGCGGCAGGCUUAACACAUGCAAGUCGAGCGGGGUGAUGUAGCUUGCUACAUUACCUAGCGGCGGACGGGUGAGUAAUGCUUAGGAAUCUGCCUAUUAGUGGGGGACAACAUUCCGAAAGGAAUGCUAAUACCGCAUACGCCCUACGGGGGAAAGCAGGGGAUCUUCGGACCUUGCGCUAAUAGAUGAGCCUAAGUCAGAUUAGCUAGUUGGUGGGGUAAAGGCCUACCAAGGCGACGAUCUGUAGCGGGUCUGAGAGGAUGAUCCGCAACACUGGGACUGAGACACGGCCCAGACUCCUACGGGAGGCAGCAGUGGGGAAUAUUGGACAAUGGGCGGAAGCCUGAUCCAGCCAUGCCGCGUGUGUGAAGAAGGCCUUUUGGUUGUAAAGCACUUUAAGCGAGGAGGAGGCUACUUGGAUUAAUACUCUAGGAUAGUGGACGUUACUCGCAGAAUAAGCACCGGCUAACUCUGUGCCAGCCGCCGCCGUAA